AUGAAACUUUCAUUAAAGUUUGAAGAAAAAGAGCAGCGUUGCCAAAGUAAGGAAAUGGAAGUGUUAAGAAACUUGCAUGAAAGUGCUGCUCCUCCUGAUGACAGUGAUGGUUGUGGACUGAAUCAGCAGAGAAAGAGUGGGGACCUUGACAACCAGCAAUCUGCCACUAAGAAGAAUGAAGAAUAUUAUUUCUGCCCUGCCUUGCAUAUAAAGGAAACAAAAAAUGAAAAUGAAAAAGUGACUUCCAUGGAGUAUGGGAUUAGACCAGUGAUAGAGAAUGGCUUUUCACUCACUAGAAGUCUACUGCAAGUGAUUUAUGACAACAAUCUGAGUGAGCUCGAUCGUCUUAAAAGGGAACAGUUAAGAAGAAAAGAAAAGCAAUAUCAUAAAGAAGUAGUAGUGAAACAACUUGAAGUGACACAUAGAACACUAGAAUUGGAUGCGAGGACUUCAAAAAACAAUUUGACCCAGUUCCAAGAAUCAGAAGAUGAACAAAAGGAGUUGGUACAAAACACUGAGAAAAUUCAAGAUCAUCUGGAAAAGCAUGAUCAGGAAAAUCAUGAGUUGAAAGAUACAAUACUAAAGCAAGCAAGGGAAAUUAAAAAUCUUCAGGAAAUCCUUUUCAGACUAAGUUCAGUAGAUAUGAAACACCUGCAGCAGCAACAGGAUGACAUUGAGAAAAGGCAAUGUAAAUCGGAGGCAUCGCUGAGAGAGAUGGCACAGUUUUACCUUAAGUUAAACAGCAAGAUGCAGGAUAUAAUGAACAAGUUAGAUGAAAUCAUCAGAAAAUUCCAGGUAUCAGAAAAUCUACACCAAGGAGUGGUAGAAAAUGUAAAGAAGACACAAGAUUAUCUAGAACACUACAAUUCAAGGCUUCAGUCUGAAAUUUUGGAAAUGAAAGAUAUCGUCAAACUGCAUGCUGGCAGUAUUGAAGAGCUGCAGAAAAAUCUGAUAAGACCAAGUUCAGUUUCACCGGAUAAUGUAAGAAGAUGUUGUAUGAACUCAGAAACUGAAAUCCAGAAAUUGAAGAAGGAAUUAAGUGACCUCAGGAGACAAUUUAAAGAUGAACAGCAACACAUAAUGCUGCUUGCUGAGUUAAAUCAAGCUCUGCAGGACAAACUGGAUGAAGAGAUGAAGAAAAAUGGUGAUUUAGGAGACAAGAUAACUCAGUAA
RNAcentral lists this long non-coding RNA (1173 nucleotides) under Oryctolagus cuniculus (rabbit). Its description in RNAcentral is "lncRNA (ENSOCUG00000034722.1)". The record is from RNAcentral. Lineage: Eukaryota; Metazoa; Chordata; Mammalia; Lagomorpha; Leporidae.